Molecule: ribosomal RNA, 253 nt
Filed under: uncultured bacterium
Lineage: Bacteria
Description: partial 16S ribosomal RNA
Rfam family: Bacterial small subunit ribosomal RNA
Source: RNAcentral
UACGUAGGGGGCAAGCGUUAUCCGGAUUUACUGGGUGUAAAGGGAGCGUAGACGGCCAGACAAGUCUGAAGUGAAAAUCCAGCGCUUAACGUUGGAAGUGCUUUGGAAACUGCCGGGCUAGAGUGCAGGAGGGGCAGGCGGAAUUCCUAGUGUAGCGGUGAAAUGCGUAGAUAUUAGGAGGAACACCGGUGGCGAAGGCGGCCUGCUGGACUGCAACUGACGUUGAGGCUCGAAGGCGUGGGGAGCAAACAGG